GACGAACGCUGGCGGCGUGCUUAACACAUGCAAGUCGAACGGAAAGGCCCUGCUUUUGUGGGUUGCUCGAGUGGCGAACGGGUGAGUAACACGUGAGUAACCUGCCCUUGACUUUGGGAUAACUUCUGGAAACUGGGGCUAAUACCGGAUAGGAGCUCCUGCUGCAUGGUGGGGGUUGGAAAGUUUCGGCGGUUGGGGAUGGACUCGCGGCUUAUCAGCUUGUUGGUGGGGUAGUGGCUUACCAAGGCUUUGACGGGUAGCCGGCCUGAGAGGGUGACCGGCCACAUUGGGACUGAGAUACGGCCCAGACUCCUAUGGGAGGCAGCAGUGGGGAAUAUUGCACAAUGGGCGGAAGCCUGAUGCAGCAACGCCGCGUGCGGGAUGACGGCCUUCGGGUUGUAAACCGCUUUCGCCUGUGACGAAGCGUGAGUGACGGUAAUGGGUAAAGAAGCACCGGCUAACUACGUG
Molecule: ribosomal RNA, 468 nt
Filed under: uncultured bacterium
Lineage: Bacteria
Description: partial 16S ribosomal RNA
Rfam family: Bacterial small subunit ribosomal RNA
Source: RNAcentral